GCGGAGGUGGCGAAAUUGGUAUACGCAUUAGAUUUAGGAUCUAAAAGAAAAAUAAUUUCUAUGAGAGUUCGAACCUCUCCUUCCGUA
Molecule: transfer RNA, 87 nt
Filed under: Nephromyces sp. ex Molgula occidentalis
Lineage: Eukaryota; Apicomplexa; Aconoidasida; Nephromycida
Description: tRNA-Leu
Rfam family: tRNA
About the family: Transfer RNA (tRNA) molecules are approximately 80 nucleotides in length. Their secondary structure includes four short double-helical elements and three loops (D, anti-codon, and T loops).
Source: RNAcentral